UAGGUAGUUGAGGACGAAAAUGAAAAGUUAAAGAACAGAGGUGUUAGGAAGAAAAUUUCCCCCCAAAUUUUUUUUUCCUUUCCCGCACAAAAUUCUCCAAAAAAAUUUUCCCACUUACAUUUUCAUUUCCCACACAAAAGUUUCAUUUCUCACACAAAGUUUUUACUCACAAAACUCUCUCAUUUUCUCUCUAUCUCUCACACGGCCUCUCACAUUCACACAACGCGCACACACACACACAACCCCGCCGGCGUCGACCAGCAGAGCCCAGCCCAGCCCAGCGACGACGCCGACGAGGCUGAGCCCAGCCAUCGACUCCUCUCCUCCUCGAUCUCUCUCUCCCUCACUAGAAGAUCCUUUCUCCUUUUCUCCCUCUCUCUCAUUACCACCCCCAUACCCAUUCAUUUUUCCUCACCAUACCCAUACCCAUACCCAUUCCGAUUUUGCUUGAGAGAAAUGGCAUCUGGGGAUGAUGGCACUGAGAGAUGGUGCGUGGUGAUAGGAGGUCGUGGUUUUGCUGCUCGUCAUUUGGUUGAAAAGCUCAUCUCAUAUAACAUGUUCCUCGUCCGAAUUGCAGAUAUGGGUCCCACCAUUAACCUUGACCCUCAUGAGGAGAAUGGAACUCUCAGCCAAGCCUUGCGCUCUGCUCAAGCUGUUUAUGUUUCCAUGGAUCUUUGAAACGAGGCCCAAGUUCUCAAAGCAUUCUUCGAUGAGUUCUUCGAUGAACGAUUACCAGCUACAUUAUUCGGUCAAUGUGGAAGGUACAGAGUGCUAGGCGCGGGAUGGGGACCAAGAAUGUUGUUGAUGCUUGUAUUGAGCUUAAAGUGAAGAGACUGAUCUAUACUAGCUCUCCUGGGGUUCAUGGCAUUUUGGAUGCGGAUGAAUCAGUGCCCUACCCGGCUAAGGCAUGAGAGAGUGAGGGAGCUGAGCAAACGGUACGGAUGGGACAAGAAAGGAGCAAUGAAGGUGUUAGGAGAAUGGUCGGAUCGCAUGGGUUUGUGGGCCAUGCCCGUAUAAUUGGACUCAUGUCAUUUUGACUUUCGAGUUCCUCAACUUUUGUCUACAUUUUUCAUGUGCAAAGGAUAAGUUUUUGCAAAGAACUUGUUAAAUUUCGUGUUAUAAUUAUGGCCAUUAGGUGGUCCUCCAAAAGCCUGGCCUGCAAAAUUGCCAAGUUGGCAAUCUAAUAAUAGUUGGAUCUUGUUACCAAUAGAAAGGAAUUAUUUUAAUUAUGGAGAUUCAAAUGACAAAUUGAGAAUCCUGGUACUCUAGAGAUGUUAGAUGUAUAUUUGGGUUUAUAGUAUUGUAGAUUGGGAUUGAUUAUUUUUACUUUGUCAAGGCUGAUGUGCUUUGUCUAGUGUAGGGCUGUCCAAACAUAUCUGAUGACCCGACCCAUCGGAGACACGAUCGGAACUAAUUCGAAACCAGCCGACCCGACCUACUCCAGUGGUUGGCAGCAGAUUUUCUCCACCAGAAAUCGACUCCGGUGGGUCGGUUUCUGUUUCUCUCCCCAAAAACCUAAAAAAACCCAAACCGACCAGCAAAAAAACCCAUAAUCUGAAGAAAAACCCAGAUUCUGACAAGAAAUCCAGAUUUCGACGAGAAAAUUCCAGAUUCUAGCAAUAGAAAACCCAGAUCUCGGCCAAAAAACCUGGAUUCAGGCACUAUUUCACGUAGAUCUGACAAAAUUUUGAGUGAAUCUAGCGAAAUCUCAUCAAAUUCGGUGAGAUUACCAUCGGAUCUGGCGAAAUCUCAUAGAUUCCGAUGAGAUUUUUGCCAGAUCUAGGUUUUUUUUCACCUUUUCUCUCAGUUUCCUCGCCCUUUUUUGUCGUUUUCUCAGAUCUUUGACUCCGAUCGACCUGUUUGUGUACCCAUUGAAGUCUGAUCCGCCAAACUUGUUUACUCCGACGGUCAGCAGCAUGUGAGUUUUUUUGAAACCCGAUUUAGUCGGGUCAAUUCCUGGUUAGGUACAAACUCGACUUGUGGACAGCCCUAGUCCAGUGUAUAAAAGCAUGAUUAUGAGGGUUGCAUCUUGGCUUAUACUAUAUUAUGCUUGUUGAUGAUAUUGGAGAUGUGACAAUUACUAAUGAUGGUGCUACAAUACUGAAGAUGCUUUGAUUUUUUGAUAGCUUUUUAUGUACAAAGAACCACAUUUAAACAACUGCAUUUUUUGGAAGUGUUGAAGGAUUUGUUUAAAUACUUUGGAACUUUGAUAAUGGUUAUAGACAACGUUAUGUAUUUGAUAAUAUAUUUCUAUGUUAAUAUAAUGUUAGUUUGGAGACA
Long non-coding RNA from Quercus lobata, 2280 nucleotides. RefSeq lists it as uncharacterized. The transcript is spliced from 6 exons. NCBI's taxonomy places the organism in Eukaryota, Viridiplantae, Streptophyta, Magnoliopsida, Fagales, Fagaceae. The record is from RefSeq and is a predicted model, not a curated record.